CACAGAUUACUUCAUAUAAAAAAAUCCUACUUAUAUUUAUAUAUACGUAUAUGUACUUGAAACAGAUGAGGAGAAUCCUCGUGUAGCAUUUAGGUGCUCAUUUCUCAGUAGAAAAAGCCCUCUUCAUCAGUGGUGGGGGUGCUUUUCCAACAUCAAACAUCAUCUCCAGCGGAGGAUUACUCAGACAGCACCAGUCAGGUAUGCGCCCCGUCUGGCUGUAAUACUCUCUGGACACAGACCGGCUCCCAAGUAUGUCCUGAAGUGCUCCAAAAAUGGCUCCUCCCAGCCACGCCACAUAGUUGGGUUUGGCAGGUGGAGUGUGAAUUUGAAGGUUUUAGUCGCAAGGACUUCUUUGUAUUUCGGUUUCUCCACCAGGUACCUGAUUUCAGCCAUGAGUCUGUGGAGGAAUCCUGGCAACAUGGCAGUGCCACCCAUAACCACCAAGUUCUCUGCCAACUGCUU
Molecule: long non-coding RNA, 462 nt
Filed under: Gallus gallus (chicken)
Lineage: Eukaryota; Metazoa; Chordata; Aves; Galliformes; Phasianidae
Source: RNAcentral